CUAACCUACGGGACGCAGCAGUGGGGAAUAUUGGGCAAUGGGCGCAAGCCUGACCCAGCAACGCCGCGUGAAGGAAGAAGGCUUUCGGGUUGUAAACUUCUUUUCUGAGGGACGAAGAAAGUGACGGUACCUCAGGAAUAAGCCACGGCUAACUACGUGCCAGCAGCCGCGGUAAUACGUAGGUGGCAAGCGUUAUCCGGAUUUAUUGGGUGUAAAGGGCGUGUAGGCGGGAAUGCAAGUCAGCUGUGAAAACUAUGGGCUCAACCCAUAGCCUGCAUUUGAAACU
RNAcentral lists this ribosomal RNA (286 nucleotides) under uncultured bacterium. RNAcentral's name for it is "partial 16S ribosomal RNA". It matches the Rfam family "Bacterial small subunit ribosomal RNA", at positions 332 to 634 of the family's 1533-position model. The record is from RNAcentral.